This 88-nucleotide small RNA is filed under the name Paenibacillus algorifonticola. RNAcentral's name for it is "BsrC". It matches the Rfam family "BsrC". From Rfam's summary of the family: The 301 nucleotide sequence from Kouji Nakamura has been trimmed to a highly conserved ~85 nucleotide long core to form this family. Lineage: Bacteria; Bacillati; Bacillota; Bacilli; Caryophanales; Paenibacillaceae. The record is from RNAcentral. RNAcentral also lists the same sequence under 1 other name.
UAACUCCAAAACAACGGAAGCCCUACCUCUCUUCCAUCCUUGCGGCUCCUAGACCGCGCCAGUGUGAAUCAAAGCUCGUACAGCACGA